UGUAGUUAAUUUUUUCUUUGGGAA
This 24-nucleotide microRNA is filed under the name Caenorhabditis elegans. Its description in RNAcentral is "cel-miR-8196b-3p". Lineage: Eukaryota; Metazoa; Nematoda; Chromadorea; Rhabditida; Rhabditidae. The record is from miRBase by way of RNAcentral.